CCUACGGGUGGCAGCAGUGAGGAAUAUUGGUCAAUGGGCGCGAGCCUGAACCAGCCAAGUCGCGUGAGGGAAGAAUGUCCUAUGGAUUGUAAACCUCUUUUGUCAGGGAGCAAAAUACCCCACGCGUGGGUGUUCGAGAGUACCCGAAGAAAAAGCAUCGGCUAACUCCGUGCCAGCAGCCGCGGUAAUACGGAGGAUGCGAGCGUUAUCCGGAUUUAUUGGGUUUAAAGGGUGCGCAGGCGGGAUAUCAAGUCAGCGGUAAAAUUGUGGGGCUCAACUUCUUCGAGCCGUUGAAACUGAUGAUCUUGAGUGAGCGAGAAGUAUGCGGAAUGCGUGGUGUAGCGGUGAAAUGCAUAGAUAUCACGCAGAACUCCGAUUGCGAAGGCAGCAUACCGGCGCCCAACUGACGCUGAUGCACGAAAGUGUGGGUAUCGAACAGGAUUAGAUACCCGAGUAGUC
RNAcentral lists this ribosomal RNA (459 nucleotides) under uncultured bacterium. RNAcentral's name for it is "partial 16S ribosomal RNA". It matches the Rfam family "Bacterial small subunit ribosomal RNA", at positions 338 to 795 of the family's 1533-position model. The record is from RNAcentral.